Molecule: small nuclear RNA, 137 nt
Filed under: Neogale vison (American mink)
Lineage: Eukaryota; Metazoa; Chordata; Mammalia; Carnivora; Mustelidae
Description: Neovison vison (American mink) U4 spliceosomal RNA (ENSNVIG00000014064.1)
Rfam family: U4 spliceosomal RNA (bases 1-67)
Source: RNAcentral
AGCUUUGCGCAGUGGCAGUAUCGUAGCCAAUGAGGUUUAUCCGAGGCGCGAUUAUUGCUAAUUGAAGCGCAAGAACAAAAGAAGUAAAAUACACUGUUUGGGGGGGGGUGUAUAUAGGUGGUAAAAUUUUUAAAAAG